AUUGGCCAACAUCUGAUUAUGAACAGAUUAGUCCUUAUAAUAAAGAUGAAUGUGUGUCAUCUUGCUUAAAGGACUGUCAAUGUUCUGCUGCGGUAUUGAGAGAUGACACCUGCUGGAAGAAGAAACUACCUCUCUCCUAUGGGAAAACGGACAGGGAUGAGACAGGGACAACUUUCAUCAAAAUUAGGAAAGUCCCUUCUGGAGGAAAGAAGAAAGUGGAUGUAUUAAUCCCGGUUGUAUCUGUACUCUUCGGCAGCUCUGCAUUAAUCAACUUGCUAUUAGUCAGCGCAUGUUGUCUAGGUUUCCUAGUUGUUAAUCGCAAAAAGUUCACGUGGCCUCACCAAGAGGAACAAGGUGUCUCAUAUAUGAAUUUGCGCUGCUUUACUUAUAAGGAGCUUGUAGAAGUCACUUGUGGAUUCAAGGAAGAACUCGGUAGAGGAGCCUUUGGCACUGUUUAUAAAGGGUUUGUGAAUAUGGGUUCUAGCAAUCAUGUUGCGGUGAAGAAGUUAAAUAGUGUAUUCCAAGACAGUGAAAAAGAAUUUAAAGCUGAAGUGAAUGGAAUCGGUCAGACACAUCAUAAGAAUCUGGUUAGACUUCUUGGGUACUGUGACGAGGGACAAAAUCGACUUCUAGUGUAUGAGUUCAUGAGCAAUGGCGCCUUGGCUAGUUUCCUCUUUGGAGACUCAAAGCCGAAUUGGAAACUGAGGACCGAAAUUGCCAUGGGAAUCGCUAGAGGUCUCUUUUAUCUUCAUGAGGAGUGCUGCACCCAGAUCAUCCAUUGUGAUAUAAAGCCUCAAAACAUACUUCUUGAUGAUUAUUACAACGCCCGGAUAUCUGAUUUUGGAUUGGCAAAGCUUUUGACGCUGGAUCAGAGCCAUACCAAUACUGCCAUCAGAGGAACUAAAGGAUAUGUUGCACCCGAAUGGUUCAGGAAUAUGCCAAUCACAGUAAAGGUUGAUGUGUACAGUUAUGGUGUGCUGCUUCUAGAAAUAAUUUGCCUGCGAAGAAGUAUAGAUAACAAAAUCAGCAAAGUGGAUAAAGCAAUCCUAACCGAUUGGGCUUAUGACUGCUAUCAGGAAAGAACACUUGGAGCUCUGGUUGAAAAUGACUUGGAGGCCAUGGACGACAUGACUGUGCUGCACAGGUUUGUGAUGGUUGCCAUUUGGUGCAUUCAAGAAGACCCGUCUCAUCGGCCCACCAUGAGGAGGGUUACACAAAUGCUUGAAGGAGUUGUUGAAGUACCUACUCCCCCAUGUCCAUGGACCCUAAACAUUACAAGCUGAAAGCGAGAAACACUUGCAAUUGCUUAAUCUCGUAUUUUCUUCAGUUCAAGCGAAGAAUUUCAGCCGUGGUUAUGUGUACUAAGUAGUAAAAGAGUUCAGUGAAUAAUGUAAUAUAGUUUCUAUGUUUCUCAAAAUUUACCGCAUUGACUUAGCUUUUAUAUAAGAUAUGCCUCUGGUUCCAAUAGAAAUUAUGUAGAAUUCUAAGUGAGAAGUCACGUGUUCAGAAAAUCUGAUCAAUAGCAAACUAUGUCAUGUUGUCUAUAAAUGCUGUUGAUAGUGGAAUGGAGAGUGCCAACUUACUGGUUAAAUGUGGUCAAGAUGCUUGGAUAAUUUGAACAAACUGUUUUAAUUUUGAAAGAAAAAUGUGAAAAGAAAUAUUAUGCCCCACUGGCACAUUGAUAAUAUUUGACUGUCAUUGAUAGUACCCCUCUGCAAAUAUCACUGGGUUCAGCAAGGAUAUGAAAUAGCAUUAUGGUGUUGCUAUAGGAAUUAAAAAAAAUGUAAAGCAUGACUAUAGGAAACAAUAUGAAUCUGCUAAACAGUUAAAUUGAUUAUUCCUUGAAAUGUUUUUUCUAAUUAAAUAUUUUGCAAAUUAUCUGAUCCGAAGAAUUACUUGAGUUCUUGUUAUACUGUUAAAUAUCUGAUGAAUUCCAUGUUCUAUUUUGGGUCAGAUUGUUAACAAACAUCUAUUUCUGUUCAGCUAAAGAUAUCUCCUGUUCAAGAUUUUGUAGCCCUUAAUUCCAAAAAAAAUAUUUUCUUGCCCUUUAUUCCAACUUUGAAACUUCUACGAAGGAAAACCGUUUUUGUUUUCCUUUGUUUCAAAACGCACAUAAUUCACUGCAUCUGUAGAGUUUGAGAGAUCAACAAAGACUAUAUGGACAAUUUAAAAUUUGUGCAGCAUGGUGGGAUUAGAAUUGAUUUUGCCUUCAACCAUUUGGAGAGAAUAGCGCAAGCUCGCCACGAAAUUGGGGAUGAAAGUUACAAGGACAACGCCCUUUACAAGUACCAUGAGGAGAAAGCUACGCUUUGUCUACAGAUUGAUGAACUACUGGCAAAAGCAGAGAAACAGAAGAAUGAGAUACACGAUUUUAUAACUACUAAAUAUGAUGAGGGAUUAAUAAGAACGACACUUCUCUUAAGUGAGGAUAUGGAAUUGAUUGCCAACAAUGCGGGGGCCAGCUUGCUGUGACACCAAGAAAUUAAGUGAUUCAGCGCAGAUACUAUGGUAACUUUUCGACAAGUUCUGUUAUUGCAUAUUUCUUUAAUUUUACUGUUGUAAGUAUGUUUAUUGUUUUAAGCAUUUCCAUGGCCACGCAUACAGCUGUGACAGAUGCAAAUUCUAUCUGGAUCAUGACUGCGUUUCACCGUGGCCUUCAGUAAAAUUAAAAGGGCCAUAUGCACAUCCUAAAUAGGCCGGUCGUUUGGCGACCCCAAAUGCAUAACAAAGAUAAAUCAAAAUGCAAACCUUAGUGUCGAGUAUUCAAAUCCAGAAACAAAGAAUAAAAACAGAACAAGUCAGCAAGAUUACGAGGUUCAGUCAUUCGCACGACCUACAUCACUGGGAGGAACAAUAGAGAGGUUGCCAUUGAUGAUUCAAGCUUAGAGAUACAUGGAUUUGUGCUUAGUAGGUAACGUACACUUUUAACAAUACAUGAGAAGUGAUGACGAUGACGUUCUUCAUUUGCCCUGCACUGCGGAAACUGUAAGUUUUAUCCCAUAGAUAUUUUUCAUUGAAUUUAAUUAAGAAUUAUUGGGUUCAAAAGUGAGGGAAAGUAAAAUAGAAAGACAGAAUAAACCCACGGAAAAGUUACUUGAGAUAUCGCCAAAACACAGAGACCCAAAAUUUCCCUUAACGAAAAGAGAUACCUCGAAUCGUAGUAAAAUUGUUGUUGUUUGGACUUUUGAUCAAUGCUUAAGUUUGGAUGUUUAAGACGAAAAGAAGUUUUGCACUUACUCCCAAAAUAAUGCAAAUAAUGAUAACAUGUGCCUCAAAAUGGCAAUAAUCCAUGAUAUAAUAUGAUACUAGUACAAUAAGUUUGUUCAAAUUGCUUGGUGUUCCUCAUUUUCCACUUAAUUUGUAGGGGUUUAGAUUCAAUGGACCACUCAAUUGCAAUUAAAUGAGCUAUUAAGUGUAGCUUUCACAUAUUUUCAUUUAUUGUCUCUCUUUAUUGAAGUCUUUGUUUUUACACCUAUCUAUAUGCACUAGCGGCUUAUUUAGGAUUGAAGUGAUGAUGUGCUUCACACAAUUUAGGAUAAGUUGGUGUAAUUAUGGUACAUCUAUUAAUAAUGCAUUUGAGUUUCUAAUGCAGUGACAUGGCAGAAGAUAUGAUAUUUCACAUCUAAUCCGAAGAGGAAACUCAACGCUUAUGAUCCAAUGAAUGAGAUAAAUUAUUUUAUUGAAUUUUGCGGUGAAUAUUAGAUAACUUUCUAAUCUAAGGAGUUUUUUUAUUAAAUUAAUAACUGAUUAAAAUAAUAAUGAGAACACUCAAUUUUAUGAAUAAGAUAAAUCUACUUUCUAAAAUCAACUCAAGCAGAAAAAGUUAAAUUACAAUUGAAAUAUAAGUCCUAAAAGCAUCCCUAAUUCGACUGUGGAAUAAAAUGACAAAUAUAAAAAUUCCAACAGUCAAUUCGCUUUGAAAAGUCAGAAUGAGUUCCUGGUGAUUUUUCUUUUUGAAUUUGGAGUUAUUCGUUUUCUUUAAAAAAAAAAAAAAAAAAAGAGGACAAAUUGGGCACUUCUCAGUUGAAUCGCUCUCCUCCACUAAUGUCUUGUCAUGAGUAUAUCUUCACUAAUUAUAAAAAACAAAUAAAUAAAAUCGGUAAACACGUGGUAAAAAUUUCGAGAAAGGGUUGCUUUAGAGGGUCUUCAAUUUUAAUACUUGCCAGUGCAAUCGCUCUCAUACACCAAUAUGCUUUUGAAUGAUCAAUUUUAAUUCAUUAAAUUUCUACCAUUUUCAAUCAACAAUGAAAUUAUAGAUCACUUAAAUAAAACUUGUCUUUUAUUCUUGCUUCCCUUUGCCAAUGACUCUAACAAUGAGCCCUCAAACUGCCACUCAUUAUGUCCAAUAUGCCCCUCGAGUUACCAUAUAGACCAAUAAAUUUUGCUUCCAUGGCCCUAAAAAAAUUGCUCAUGAUAUAAUCUCAAAUACAUCUAUUUAGUACAUGAUUGACGUGAUAUAAACAUAAAAUGAUUUUCAUUAGAUUUUUCAUUGCAUACCAAAAAAUAAUUUGUAAGCGUUUGUUUUUACAAUCUAGAUGUUCUUCCAUGGGAAAAUUUGGUCCACAAAGAAAUUAUAAGAGACCUGACAAGAAUUGCAACCUUGCUAGACGUAAAAGACUGCGUUGACUUCAUUUCAUCUCUUUAAUAUUUUAAUUCAAUUAAUCCAUCUUGGGUUAAUGCAUCAACCCUAUUGAAUUCUAGCUAUAGCAAUGGCUUUUCCGCUUCUUUUUUCACUUUCAUUUCUUCUUCAGCUGCUGCAACCAUUCUUAACUUUUGCUCAAACCCGUGGCAACAUAACCAUUGGAGCCUCUCUUUCUGCCUCACAAAACUCGUCUUCAUGGCUUUCUCCUAAUGGAGAUUUUGCCUUCGGUUUCCGCUCACUUGACAGCAACAAAGACCUUUUCUUGCUCUCCAUUUGGUAUGCUAAAAUCCCACAGAAGACUAUAGUUUGGUUUGCAAAUGGAGAUAGUCCUGCAGCUUCAGGAACAAAAGUUGAGCUCACUGCUGACCGAGGCCUUGUGCUUACUAGCCCUCAAGGUCAAGAAUUGUGGAAAUCCGAUCCUGUUAUAGGCACUGUUGCUUAUGGCUUGAUGAAUGAUACAGGCAACUUUGUUCUGCUCAGUGACAGUACAAAUAAGCUAUGGGAGAGCUUCAAGAAUGCCACUGACACCAUGCUGCCUUCACAAAUAUUUGAAAAGGGACAGUUUCUUUCUUCCAAACAAUCAGAUGGCAAUUUUUCCAAGGGAAGGUUUCGAUUCGAACUGGAUUCAGAUGGGAAUCUUGUGCUUACUACAGUAAACUUACCUUCUGAUUAUACUAACGAGCCUUAUUAUCAGAGCAAGACUAAUGGUUCUAGCAAUCAGCUUGUGUUCAAUCAGUCAGGGUACAUGUACAUAUUGCAAGAUAAUGAUCAAAGAUUUGCUCUAACAAGAAGAGUUGAAACAUCAGCUUCCAACUUUUAUUACAGAGCAACAAUCAAUUUUGAUGGGGUUUUUACUCAGUAUCAGCACCCGAAAAAUUCCACUGGAAAUGAAGGCUGGACAGCGUUUUGGUCAUUGCCAGAUGAUAUUUGUAAAGCAAGUUUUGUUUCAUCUGGCAGUGGCACUUGCGGAUUUAACAGUGUUUGCAGACUAACUACUGAUAGAAGGCCAAUCUGUGAGUGUCCAGGAGGGUAUACUUUGAUUGAUCCGAAUGAUAAAUAUGGCAGCUGCAAGCCAAACUACACUCAGAGCUGUGUUGAUGAUGACGAACCCGGUUCUCCCGAAGAUUUAUAUGAUUUUGAAGUGAUUACGAACACGGAUUGGCCUCUAUCUGAUUAUCAACUCUUGACUCCUUUCACAGAAGAGGGGUGUAGGCAAUCUUGCUUGCAUGACUGUAUGUGUGCCGUUGCAAUUUUUCGAAGUGGAGAUAUGUGUUGGAAGAAGAAGCUACCUCUAUCAAAUGGGCGAUUUGAUGCCAACCUUAACGGCAAAGCUCUUAUCAAAAUCAGGAAAGGUAAUCUGCCUCCAACAAGUCCUGAUUUCCCAAGACCUAACGUAAAGAAUAAUCAGAAGAAAGAUCAAGAGAAUUUGAUCAUUUUGGGAUCAGUACUUUUGGGUGGAUCUGUUUUUUUCAAUUGCUUGUUGGUUGGAGCUCUUUGUCUUUGCUUUUUCUUUGUUUACAACAAGAAAAACAGUCAAGUUCCUUCUCAUGAUGGUGUUGUGGAAACAAACUUGCAUUGUUUUACUUACAAAGAUCUGGAAGCAGCUACAAAUGGGUUCAAGGAAGAGCUAGGAAAAGGAGCUUUUGGGGUUGUGUACAAAGGAGCAAUUGGUAUGGCUUCUAUGUAUCAGGUUCCAGUUGCAGUAAAGAAAUUGCAUAGUUUUAUCCAAGAUGGUGUGAAAGAAUUCAAAACAGAAGUAAACGUUAUCGGCCAAACUCAUCACAAGAAUCUUGUUAGACUGCUCGGAUUUUGUGAUGAUGGACUGAAUAGGUUGCUGGUAUAUGAGUUCUUGAGCAACGGCACUUUAGCUAGCUUUCUCUUUGGUGACUUGAAACCUGGAUGGAGCCGGAGAACAGACAUUGCUUUUGGGAUUGCAAGAGGACUUUUGUAUCUACAUGAAGAAUGCAGCACGCAGAUUAUCCAUUGUGAUAUCAAGCCUCAGAAUAUCUUGCUUGAUGAUUACUACAAUGCUCGAAUUUCAGACUUCGGAUUGGCAAAGCUUCUGCUGCUUGAUCAGAGUCAAACAUAUACUGCUAUUAGAGGAACAAAAGGGUAUGUUGCACCAGAAUGGUUUAGGAACAUGCCCAUCACAAUGAAAGUGGAUGUGUACAGCUUUGGUGUUUUACUGCUAGAGAUCAUUUGCUGCAGAAGAAAUGUAGAUAUGGAAGUGAAUGAAGCAGAAGCACUCUUGACAGAUUGGGCUUAUGACUGUUACUGCGAAGGAAUAAUAGAACCCCUGGUGGAAUUUGAUAUAGAGGCCUUGAAUGACAAGAAAAACGUGGCAAGAUUUGUGAUGGUUGCCAUCUGGUGCAUUCAAGAAGAUCCUUCUCUUCGGCCAACAAUGAGGAAGGUUACUCAGAUGCUUGAAGGGGUUGUUGAAGUGCUUGAUCCACCAUGUCCAUGUCCAUUUACUGUUGCCAACUGAAAGCAGCUUAAGGAGUUGCUUUUAAUCAGCAGCAACUGAUGUUCUAAUAAUUUAAUUUGCUCUGCCUUCCUUUGAAUGAGCAAAUUGUUUACUCAUCGUGGUAUUAUCUAAAUUAGAUUAUUGUGCUGUGGUGUUUCUUGUUAUUAAUCUAAUUCCUGCAGAGAGUUGUCUGUAAUUAAAUACAGCGUAGUUGUUAAAUUAUCAGAAAUUUGCAGGAUCAAUCAAAGUUAAUUAUAAUCAGACUUCUCAUAAUCUGGAGGCUGAUAGGUAUAUCCAUCAUUGAACUUGCACUUUGAUCAUAAUUUCCAGGCAGAGAAAUCAAAUUUUGAGGGAUGGAAUAUUGGAGAUCAAGGUGUUAUGACUUUUAAUCUAUACCUUACAUGUGAACUGAAAUCGCUACUUAAAAAAGUAGGAGGGUUGAUGAGUAAAAAUACUACAAAUGAAAGUUAAAAGUCUUUACGGUACGUUUUAGCCUCACUAGCUUUAAAGUUAACAACUGAAAAAAUACCCUUCUUAUACAGCUCAUAAUCUUUUCCCGUCAUGCAAAUACCUGGUCAAUAAAGUUGACAGCAUUUUUUCCCCCUAUUUCUGAAUGGUAAGACUUGGUUCCACUACCCGUAAGCUGGGUUGAUGAAGACUGUUUCAAGUCUUCAAGUCAACUUGGAAAAUGUUGUUGGUGCAUUUAUUUCUUGUUGCUAGUCACCAGCUUGCCUCCCUCACCAUUCUAAUUUCAAUAUCUGCAGCAACUUCUUCACUGCAUUUUUGUAAUACACAGUGUUUUGGCCACGGCAUAUCAAGUCUUGCAUGCACAUAACCUUCCUCAGAAUUUAUCAAAUCACCAUACAAGACCAAGAAAUUUAAAAAGUCAAUAUCACAUCGUAAUUUUUCUUUUCUUUUUUUUUAAUUAAUGGUAAUAUAAUUCGACUGUCCCACCAAAUGUGCAAGAACAUUAAUAUGUCCAAUUGCAGCGAACGCCUUUGCUUACGCGCUUUGAAUAUUCAACCCCUUUACAUUUUCAAUAAUCUGUCCCACUUUUUAUCUUCUCCACAUGAAAAAUAUAUUAUCUGAAUAAUCCGCUCUUCCAAUUUCAUGUACUCAAAACAAUUUCAGUAAUUUCAGUAAUGGCUUUUCAUCUUCUAUCCCUUCUUUUCUUGCUUCUGCUGCCGUGUCUAACAGCCGCACAAAGUAACGGAAACAUAAGUAUAGGUCAGCAACUCACUGCAGCUGAGAGCACGGAACCAUGGCUUUCCCCUUCUAAGGAUUUCGCUUUAGGGUUUCACCAACUAGACAGUAAGGAUCUCUUCUUGCCUGCCAUAUGGUAUUACAAGAUACCGAGUAAAACCAUAGUUUGGUAUGCAUCGGCAGUCAAUCCUGCGCCAAGAGGAUCAAAACUACGGCUGACUGCUAAUAGGGGGCUGGUACUUGAGGACCCCGAAGGCCAGGAGAUAUGGAAAUCUGAAAUCAGUACGGGACAAGCAGCUUUUGGUGUUCUUUAUGAUACUGGCAACUUUCUGAUCGUAAAUACAAAUUCUGAGAGGUUAUGGCAGAGCUUUGAUCAUCCUACUGAUACCUUGCUUCCUACGCAGACAAUGGAACGGGGUGGGGUCGUAUCUUCCAGACGAAAGGACACUGAUUUCUCUCGAGGAAGGUUCCAAUUCCGUCUAUUGGAGGAUGGAAAUGCAGUGCUUAAUACCAUAAACUUGGAAAGCGGCUUUGCAUAUGAUGCCUAUUUUUGGAGUAACACGUUUGAUACUAACAGAUCGAAUGCUGGUUAUCGAGUAGUCUUCAAUGAGUCAGGCCAAUUGUAUGUUUUGAGAGAAAAUAAACAGAGAGCCAGUCUUGUACCAGAAACAGUCUCAGUAAAAGAAAAUUACCUCAGAGCAACUCUAAACUUUGAUGGUGUUUUUAUCUUCUACUCUCACCCAAGAAUAAUAGCACUGGAGACGCUAUCUGGUCAGUCAGUGAUGUCUUGCCGGAGAAUAUUUGCAUUAACAAUGAUAUCCGUAAAGGAUUAGGCAGUGGAAUCUGUGGAUUUAACAGCAUCUGCAGUAUCAGUGGAGCCAAAAGACCAAUCUGCCAAUGCCCAAAAGGGUUUUCUUUACUAGAUCCAGAUGAUGUCUACGGAAGCUGCAAACCGGACUUCAUUCUAGGCUGUGAAGAAGAUGGGAAGAAAUCUGGAGAAGAUCUAUAUUAUAUUGAAGAGCUAGGGAACACUGAUUGGCCAACAUCUGAUUAUGAACAGAUUAGUCCUUAUAGUAAAGAUGAAUGUGUGUCAUCUUGCUUAAAGGACUGUCAAUGUUCUGCUGCCGUAUUGAGAGAUGACACCUGCUGGAAGAAGAAACUACCUCUCUCCUAUGGGAAAACGGACAGGGAUGAGACAGGGACAACUUUCAUCAAAAUUAGGAAAGUCCCUUCUGGAGGAAAGAAGAAAGUGG
RNAcentral lists this long non-coding RNA (9562 nucleotides) under Citrus maxima (pomelo). RNAcentral describes it as "long non-coding RNA (CMAX_LNC000479)". Lineage: Eukaryota; Viridiplantae; Streptophyta; Magnoliopsida; Sapindales; Rutaceae. The record is from RNAcentral.